CUGUGGAGAGCAGGAAUCCCCGGCCUGACCAUAGUUCGUACAUAUUCUCCCUGAUGGAGGCUAGCCUGACAUUGACCUCACAUCAUGGUAGCUGGCAGCUCAACGUCGCUGUGCAAGGAGAACGACGGAGGUGGUUCACACAAUGCAUCAAAGAGGAACUGAAUGUUACACUGGAUGCCAGCCAGUGGUGGGCCUCAAGCUGGGGUUCGUUUGAGCCCCUGGCAGCAUCAGUGACACACAAAAUGUCGGCAGGAGGCAACCAUGGAUGUCCUGCGGCUCAUCUCUCUGCUGGCUGUCUAGAGACUGUAGUGCUUCACGCACAAUGAGGGCUGUAUGCAGGCUGUGGAGAGCAGGAGUGCCCGGCCUGCCCAUUGUUCAUACAGAUUCCCCCUGAUGGAUCCUAGCCUGACAGUGACCUCACAUCAUG
Molecule: long non-coding RNA, 427 nt
Organism: Fukomys damarensis (Damara mole-rat)
Lineage: Eukaryota; Metazoa; Chordata; Mammalia; Rodentia; Bathyergidae
Exons: 3
Source: RefSeq, a predicted model, not a curated record